Crotalus tigris (Tiger rattlesnake) is the source of this 545-nucleotide long non-coding RNA. RefSeq lists it as uncharacterized. NCBI's taxonomy places the organism in Eukaryota, Metazoa, Chordata, Lepidosauria, Squamata, Viperidae. The record is from RefSeq and is a predicted model, not a curated record. The transcript has 3 exons.
UUUCUGCCCUCUUGGAUGAGGAAUCUGAGGGAAGCUGGGAGCAGGCUGCAGAGGCUUCGGAGGCCAGCCUUUCGUCCAGUCCGUGGGAUUCUCCCGAAGAAGGGGAAGCCUCGCUGGACAAUGUCAGCAGCCUGGAGGAGGACUCCCUGGCCCUCAGUCUCUAAUUAAAAGAGACGCUUCCCCAGAUGCCUCUCCAGAAGGCAGAUCGGAGGAGGAUGAACCAGUCCCAGGCACAUCAGGAGGUGAGUUGGCCAAUGCCUCCGAGCAGCCAGCGGAGAGUGAUUUGGCUGAAGCACAGCUGCAGCAGGAGAGCCCUGAGACUUCCGGGCAGCUGCAGAUGGUUAGCUUUGAGCAGGAACUGCUUUCUGCACUAUCCGAGAACAACCAGGGAAGAGAAAAGGCAGGAGCAGCAAAGGGUGGUUCUUUCACUCACAGGAGGCAGUCUUGCCUUUCUUGAUGGGCUGCACCAGAAGCUGGCAAUUGAGCACAGCAGACAAAUGGAGGCCAUGCUGGGAACAAUGCAUUCAUGACUAGGGGGUUGGAGU